This 476-nucleotide ribosomal RNA is filed under the name uncultured bacterium. RNAcentral describes it as "bacterial SSU rRNA". It matches the Rfam family "Bacterial small subunit ribosomal RNA", at positions 28 to 516 of the family's 1533-position model. The record is from RNAcentral.
GACGAACGCUGGCGGCACGCCUAACACAUGCAAGUCGAACGGUGACGAUGGAGCUUGCUCCAUCAGAUCAGUGGCGGACGGGUGAGUAACACGUGAGCAACCUGCCUUUCAGUGGGGGACAACAGUUGGAAACGACUGCUAAUACCGCAUAACGUCAUUUGAGGGCAUCCUCGAAUGACCAAAGNUUUAUCGCUGAAAGAUGGGCUCGCGUCUGAUUAGAUAGUUGGUGAGGUAACGGCUCACCAAGUCGACGAUCAGUAGCCGGACUGAGAGGUUGAACGGCCACAUUGGGACUGAGACACGGCCCAGACUCCUACGGGAGGCAGCAGUGGGGAAUAUUGCACAAUGGAGGAAACUCUGAUGCAGCGAUGCCGCGUGAGGGAAGAAGGUUUUCGGAUUGUAAACCUCUGUACUUCAGGGACGAUAAUGACGGUACCUGAGGAGGAAGCUCCGGGCUAAACUACGUGCCAGCAGCC